GACAGAGGAUGCAAACGUUGUUCGGAAUUACUGGGCGUAAAGCGCGUGUAGGCGGCUUCGCAAGUCGGAUGUGAAAUCCCACGGCUCAACCGUGGAAGUGCAUUCGAAACUGCAAGGCUAGAGUUCUGGAGAGGAAGGUGGAAUGCUUGGUGUAGAGGUGAAAUUCGUAGAUAUCAAGCGGAACACCGGUGGCGAAGGCGGCCUUCUGGACAGUAACUGACGCUGAGACGCGAAAGCGUGGGGAGCAAACAGG
RNAcentral lists this ribosomal RNA (253 nucleotides) under uncultured bacterium. RNAcentral's name for it is "partial 16S ribosomal RNA". It matches the Rfam family "Bacterial small subunit ribosomal RNA", at positions 524 to 776 of the family's 1533-position model. The record is from RNAcentral.